Magnolia sinica is the source of this 568-nucleotide long non-coding RNA. RefSeq lists it as uncharacterized. The transcript has 2 exons. The record is from RefSeq and is a predicted model, not a curated record. Lineage: Eukaryota; Viridiplantae; Streptophyta; Magnoliopsida; Magnoliales; Magnoliaceae.
UGAUGGUGAAGAAGAAAUAGUCCUAAGCGAUAGUGAUACAGACGGCGAUUAUUAAAUUUGAGUCAAUUUCUGAUCAUGUCCUCCUCAAACCAGAGCGUAGUGGAAGCACGCAGCAUACUUCAUCAGCUGUUAUGGAUGGACUUUCCGACCCUAUCUUCUUCUGGUAGGGCCAAAGAGAUACCCGGUCUGGUUGAUAAGUAUAGGGAGGAAUAUAUCAACGAUGACUCAGAUGAAAGAUUAUAUAAUCUUAAAGAAAUUUCGGACCUGAUGGAGGAAUAUAACAGCGGGAAACUUCAUAUGAAAGAUACGAUUUUGUCACUUACACAUCUGAAUGGAGUCCCGAGAGGCCAGAUUUCUCCUAUUGUGAUUGACAUGUUGGUUGUAACAAUAUCGAGUGCUUCACACAGUUUGACAUAUACUUCUGCAGUGUACGAUAACUUACGCAGGGAGUACUUCGGAUAGUUGAUCUGAAGUUGUUUCGUAUUACAAUGAAAUAAAUGUAUUUAAUAUAGAAUGACAAUGUGUAAUGAAAUUUUUAACUUUUACUAGAAUGUUUAUGAUUUUAUUA